GUGCCAGCAGCCGCGGUAAUACGAAGGGGGCUAGCGUUGUUCGGAAUUACUGGGCGUAAAGCGCGUGUAGGCGGAUUUUUAAGUCGGGGGUGAAAUCCCAGAGCUCAACUCUGGAACUGCCUUCGAUACUGGGAAUCUGGACCCAAGUAGAGGCGAGUGGAAUUGCGAGUGUAGAGGUGAAAUUCGUAGAUAUUCGCAGGAACACCAGUGGCGAAGGCGACUCGCUGGACUUGUGGUGACGCUGAGACGCGAAAGCGUGGGUAGCAAACAGGAUUAGAAACCCGCGUAGUCC
RNAcentral lists this ribosomal RNA (292 nucleotides) under uncultured bacterium. RNAcentral describes it as "partial 16S ribosomal RNA". It matches the Rfam family "Bacterial small subunit ribosomal RNA", at positions 505 to 796 of the family's 1533-position model. The record is from RNAcentral.